Molecule: long non-coding RNA, 797 nt
Filed under: Triticum aestivum (bread wheat)
Lineage: Eukaryota; Viridiplantae; Streptophyta; Magnoliopsida; Poales; Poaceae
Description: long non-coding RNA (TAES_LNC022469)
Source: RNAcentral
CAAGGAAGGGCCCGCUGAAGCUCUCGGGCUUGCCGGUGGCGACGAGCUGCUUGACGGUGAAGAGGAAGGGCACGCGCUCGCCUCCGGGGAGCUGCACGGUGACGGCCGCAUAGUCGAUGCCGUCCUUCUCCUCGAACUUGAGGGUGCCGUCGGCGCCGACCUCGAGCGGGCCUUCCAUCUCGUCAAGGGUGUAGGUGAGACGGGUCAUGAGCUUGGUCUUCUGGAAGGCCGGCGGCUCGUUCUUCUGGAUGCCCUCGGCCUUGACGGUGAAGGAGGUGGGCUCCAGGCAGAACUUCUUCAUCUCGUACUUGCCGGCCUUGAAGGGGAAGGAGUCGACGCCGCCGUCGAUGGUCGGGCACUGGUUCGCGGUGCCGGUACCCUUCACCUCCAUGUAGGUCUUGCUCUGGAUCUCGUCGAAGGUCAGCCUCUUGGGCGCCCCCUCCGCGCUCGCGCCCUGCACCCACGCGCGUCACUCUAGCUAGCUGGACUGGAGUGGAGUAAACGGCCACGGACGGCAAUAGAACGGAUUAGUCAGCUUACGGAGACGAGGAGGGCAGAGGUGGCGAGGGCGAAGCCGGCCAUCUUGGCGGCGUCGGCGCACUUGCUUGCGACCUCCCUGAUGUCGGACUGCAGGGAGCAGGUGAUCCUGGCGCCAGCGUCGACGCCGAACGCCCGGGCGACGUGCGACGACGGCCGCGCGGAGGAGGCCCGGCCGCCGAUCUUGGCCGGCAUCAGCGUAGCCGCGGCUUGGAGAGACGCUGCCAUGUUGGUCGGUGGCUUGGCACGCGGGAGGAUCG